GUGUCAGCCGCCGCGGUAAUACGAAGGGGGCUAGCGUUGUUCGGAAUCACUGGGCGUAAAGGGCGCGUAGGCGGCCAAAUAAGUCGGGGGUGAAAGCCUGUGGCUCAACCACAGAAUUGCCUUCGAUACUGUAUGGCUCGAGACCGGAAGAGGUUGGUGGAACUGCGAGUGUAGAGGUGAAAUUCGUAGAUAUUCGCAAGAACACCAGUGGCGAAGGCGGCCAACUGGUCCGGUUCUGACGCUGAGGCGCGAAAGCGUGGGGAGCAAACAGGAUUAGAAACCCUAGUAGUCC
This 292-nucleotide ribosomal RNA is filed under the name uncultured bacterium. RNAcentral's name for it is "partial 16S ribosomal RNA". It matches the Rfam family "Bacterial small subunit ribosomal RNA", at positions 505 to 796 of the family's 1533-position model. The record is from RNAcentral.